Molecule: transfer RNA, 82 nt
Filed under: Leptospirillum sp. Group IV 'UBA BS'
Lineage: Bacteria; Pseudomonadati; Nitrospirota; Nitrospiria; Nitrospirales; Nitrospiraceae
Rfam family: tRNA
About the family: Transfer RNA (tRNA) molecules are approximately 80 nucleotides in length. Their secondary structure includes four short double-helical elements and three loops (D, anti-codon, and T loops).
Source: Rfam by way of RNAcentral
GCGAGAGUGGCCGAAAUGGCAGACGCACCAGACUUAGGAUCUGGAGGGUAACCCCGUGGGGGUUCAAGUCCCCCCUCUCGCA